RNAcentral lists this ribosomal RNA (490 nucleotides) under uncultured bacterium. Its description in RNAcentral is "bacterial SSU rRNA". It matches the Rfam family "Bacterial small subunit ribosomal RNA", at positions 8 to 518 of the family's 1533-position model. The record is from RNAcentral.
AGAGUUUGAUCAUGGCUCAGGAUGAACGCUGGCGGCGUGCUAACACAUGCAAGUCGAACGGUAAACCGCCUCGGGCGGACAUACAGUGGCGAACGGGUGAGUAACACGUGACCGACCUGCCCCGCGCACCGGGACAACCGCUGGAAACGGCGGCUAAUACCGGAUACUCCGCAGCCAUCGCAUGGCGGCUGCGGGAAAGCUCCGGCGGCGCGGGAUGGGGUCGCGACCCAUCAGGUAGUAGGCGGGGCGACGGCCCACCUAGCCGACGACGGGUAGCCGGGUUGAGAGACCGACCGGCCACAUUGGGACUGAGAUACGGCCCAGACUCCUACGGGAGGCAGCAGUGGGGAAUUUUGCGCAAUGGGGGAAACCCUGACGCAGCAACGCCGCGUGCGGGACGAAGGCCUUCGGGUUGUAAACCGCUUUCAGCAGGGAAGACAUCGACGGUACCUGCAGAAGAAGCCCCGGCUAAAUACGUGCCAGCAGCCGC